RNAcentral lists this long non-coding RNA (726 nucleotides) under Anas platyrhynchos platyrhynchos (common mallard). Its description in RNAcentral is "lncRNA (ENSAPLG00000022609.1)". Lineage: Eukaryota; Metazoa; Chordata; Aves; Anseriformes; Anatidae. The record is from RNAcentral.
UUUUCCAUGAGCAUUUAAGAAAAAAUAAAAAAGUAUUUCUUUUAUUAUUUUAAUCAAUUUAAUAUCAGUGAAUGGCAGCUCACUGCCUUGUUUCAAUCUUAUUGCAAUUUUAGUGGGUUUUGGGGGUGAAAUUUAAAAUAUUCACCCAGAUUUUCCUUUAGUACCCCUAACACACAGUCUCAGGAAUGAUUGACCACUGGGACUCAGCUACUUGGCCUUACAGGGAUCAGAACUAAUUGAAGUAACCUGUGACUAAUCCAUAUUAUGGAAGAAGGCAAGCAGGCACCAGAGAAAGUAGGUGGGAAGCUGAUGGGUAGUACCCAAAGGCCUGUUUCGUCUUUUUUGAACUCAGCAAAGAUGAACUGUUUGAUGUUAAUGCAAGAAAGAAAACAGAGUGAUAUGAGAGUAAAUGAAAGCUUUGGGGGAAAAAAAGUUGCAAUAGCAAAAGACCUGAUUUUUCAGCAUGCUUCGGUGCCCAAAGAUGCCAAUAAAGAUCUAGGAAGAUACCCAAAAGCAAGAAUGUUAGUCAAGUACAGUACUUCCACGUCUUUCCUUCAUUCAAGUCAUACAGAAAGAUGGAGGUGUUUCUGAAAUAUCACUUUAGGUAUGUCUGCACCUCAUUAGACAGUUGCUUUUAAAAAUCUGGUAAAAGCUCAAUACAGUGAGCUUCAUGCCUUUCAAAGGUAAGGAAAUAAAGAAUGAAGGGAAUCUUAUGAAACUGGUGGU